Molecule: ribosomal RNA, 318 nt
Filed under: uncultured eukaryote
Lineage: Eukaryota
Description: partial 18S ribosomal RNA
Rfam family: Eukaryotic small subunit ribosomal RNA
Source: RNAcentral
CCCUUAGAUGUCCUGGGCCGCACGCGUGAUACACUGAUGCAUACAGCGAGUACUUUCCAGCUCCGCGAGGCAGCUGGUAAUCAGCAAUAUGCAUCGUGCUGGGGAUAGAUCUUUGGAAUUAUAGAUCUUGAACGAGGAAUUCCUAGUAAGCGCAGGUCAUUAGCUUGCGCUGAUUAAGUCCCUGCCCUUUGUACACACCGCCCGUCGCUCCUACCGAUUUCGAGUGAUUCGGUGAACCUUUUGGACAGCGUCUGUCCUCGUGUCAGAUGCUGAAAGUCAAGUAAACCAUAUCACUUAGAGGAAGGAGAAGUCGUAACA